Molecule: ribosomal RNA, 253 nt
Filed under: uncultured bacterium
Lineage: Bacteria
Description: partial 16S ribosomal RNA
Rfam family: Bacterial small subunit ribosomal RNA
Source: RNAcentral
UACGUAGGUGGCAAGCGUUGUCCGGAAUCACUGGGCGUAAAGCGCGCGCAGGCGGCGAUCUACGUCUGGGGUGAAAGUCCGGGGCUCAACCCCGGAUCUGCCGUGCCGACUGUCAGACUCGAGGACUGUAGAGGCAGGCGGAAUUCCGGGUGUAGCGGUGGAAUGCGUAGAUAUCGGGAGGAACACCAGUGGCGAAGGCGACUACCUGGCCUGUUCUUGACGCUGAGGCGCGAAAGCUAGGGGAGCAAACGGG